Molecule: ribosomal RNA, 253 nt
Filed under: uncultured bacterium
Lineage: Bacteria
Description: partial 16S ribosomal RNA
Rfam family: Bacterial small subunit ribosomal RNA
Source: RNAcentral
UACAGAGGUCUCAAGCGUUGUUCGGAUUCAUUGGGCGUAAAGGGUGCGUAGGCGGCGCGGUAAGUCGGGUGUGAAAUCUCGGGGCUCAACCCCGAAACUGCACUUGAUACUGCGAUGCUCGAGUACUGGAGAGGAGAUUGGAAUUUACGGUGUAGCAGUGAAAUGCGUAGAUAUCGUAAGGAAGACCAGUGGCGAAGGCGAAUCUCUGGACAGUUACUGACACUGAGGCACGAAGGCCAGGGGAGCAAACGGG